GUCUACAGCCAUGCCGCCCUGAACGUGCCCGAUCCCGUCUGAUCUCGGAAGCUAAACAGGGUUGGGCCUGGUUAGCACUUGGAUGGGAGACCACCUAGAAGUACCAGGUGCUGUAGGCG
RNAcentral lists this ribosomal RNA (119 nucleotides) under Pteropus alecto (black flying fox). The record is from RNAcentral. Lineage: Eukaryota; Metazoa; Chordata; Mammalia; Chiroptera; Pteropodidae.